CCCUGUCGGGGUUAAUGCUUGGGAGGGAUGGGUUUGGGAAGAGCCCCCAUUAUGUUCGAAGGGGUGUUCCUGUCGGGGUUAAUGCUUGGGAGGGAUGGGUUUGGGAAGAGCCCCCAUUAUGUUCGAAGGGGUGUCCCUGUCGGGGUUAAUGCUUGGGAGGGAUGGGUUUGGGAAGAGCCCCCCAUUAUGUUCGAAGGGGUGUCCCUGUCGGGGUUAAUGCUUGGGAGGGAUGGGUUUGGGAAGAGCCCCCAUUAUGUUCGAAGGGGUGUUCCUGUCGGGGUUAAUGCUUGGGAGGGAUGGGUUUGGGAAGAGCCCCCAUUAUGUUCGAAGGGGUGUCCCUGUCGGGGUUAAUGCUUGGGAGGGAUGGGUUUGGGAAGAGCCCCCAUUAUGUUCGAAGGGGUGUUCCUGUCGGGGUUAAUGCUUGGGAGGGAGGGGUUUGGGAAGAGCCCCCCAUUAUGUUCGAAGGGGUGUUCCUGUCGGGGUUAAUGCUUGGGAGGGAUGGGUUUGGGAAGAGCCCCCCAUUAUGUUCGAAGGGGUGUCCCUGUCGGGGUUAAUGC
Molecule: long non-coding RNA, 557 nt
Organism: Oncorhynchus keta (chum salmon)
Lineage: Eukaryota; Metazoa; Chordata; Actinopteri; Salmoniformes; Salmonidae
Exons: 3
Source: RefSeq, a predicted model, not a curated record